CGAACCGCGACCUUCUGAUCGGCAAGUCCUAGGCUCUGUGGUUUAACCCACAGUGCCACCCGCGUCCCAUAUAUGCAUGCUGAUUUUGUGGAUUUUUGUUGUUCUAAGGAACCAGUUCAGCUAUGUGGUUUUACUCUAAAGGUAAAGGUAAAGGGACCCCUGACCAUUAGGUCCAGUCGUGGACGACUCUGGGGUUGCAGUGCUCAUCUUGCUUUACUGGCCGAGGGAGCCGGCGUACAGCUUCCAGGUCACGUGGCCAGCAUGACUAAGCCGCUUCUGGCGAACCAGAGCAGUGCACGGAAACACCGUUUACUUUCCCGCCGGAGCGGUACCUAUUUAUCUACUUGCACUUUGAGGUGCUUUCAAACUGCUAGGUUGGCAGGAGUUGGGACCGAGCAAUGGGAGCUCACCCCGUCACGGGGAUUCAAACCACUGGCCUUCUGAUCGGCAAGCCCUAGGCUCUGCAGUUUAACCCACAGCGCCACCCGCAUCCCGGUUUUACUCUACUAGGCAGCAAUUAUUUCCUGGUCCUACACAGGAAGUGUUGUUAUAGCCGUGAUACUUUUUAGGGUAAAAGAUGUAGGCUGUUUUUUGAAGGAACACUGCAGGUGGUUGCAUUUAUUUGCGAUUUUAACAGCUCCCAAAAGCAGCACACUUAGAUCGAUUGCCGUUCAGCUCGGGUGCGUGUGGUGCGAUGCUCAGCCAAGGGAGAACGUAACCAAGGGAACGGCCCAUCAGCUAAGAAAAUCCAUACUUCUCUUGACAUUCCUUUUAAAAAGUAAGCUUAGUUUUUCCUAAGAGGUGCUUGGUUUUGUGACACCCUCUCCAUGCCAACAGAGCAGCAGCCUGCGCUUUCUUGAUUUAAAUCAGCAUUUCCCAAACUUGGGUAUCCAGCUGUUUUUGGACUACAACUCCCAUCUUCCCUAGCUAGCAGGACCAGUGGUCAGGGAUGAUGGGAACUCUAGUCCAAAACAGUUGGGAGACCCAAGUUUGUGAAUCCUUGAUUUAAAUCCUUAGAUUCUCAUCGACGGACCAUCCAUUUUGCUUUGAAUUUAGCUUUCGGCAAAAUUUGGGAACGGUCUGGUCCAGCGCAGAGAUACCUCUUUCCUUCCUUGUUAAAGCCAGCUUGAUUUCAUGUGAAUACAGACAACUUUCCCUAUAGAAGGUGGCCUCGACCCCGAUAUCCUAAUCUGAGGUUAAUCUCUACAUAUCACCUUUGAGAGAGGUCUGGAGGGUGGUGUCAAGAGAAAUGGCCUUUUUAGUGGUGGCUCCCUAUCUAUGUCAAAUGUUCUCCCCAUGGAGGCCCGCCUGACAUUGACCUUGCCACCAUUUUGACGCCAGGCGAAGCCAUUUUCAUGAACAUUUAGGCCAGAGCUUUCCAGAGCUUGUGCCCUACCUGGAGAUACGAAGAAUCAAACAUGAGCACCUUCUGCAUUCAAAGCAGAUGAUCUCUGUGUCCCCAAGCCAAAGCCCUUCUCCGUGUCCGCAGGCCUGUCAUGAGGUCUCCCCUGUCCUAUAUGAAACCACAAAACGCCUCUCCUGCAGAGGUUGUCACAAAGAAUAUCCGUCACGCCGGACAUGUUCCGCGAAGCCUGUAAGCCACCAGUGAACUUUGUUUAGGAGAUUUAGGGAGCUUAUUGGGGAAUCCCUCCAGGCUUCCUGCCUCCCCACCGCCCCAAAAGAAAACCACUAUCAAAAUUGCAAUCGGAGUUUCUGAAGGGAAAAGAAGGGUGGGAGCACAUCCUGGGGGAAUUUUUCCUUCUGCCUGGGUUCUCUUCCUCAGUUCCGGUUGCUCUUGGAAACAGCUGACCUACAUCUGCAUGUCAAAAUGCGAGGGAGAUUUCGCUUGACAUGGUGUGGCAAGGCUUGGCGGAGCUUGACUUCUGCCUUCGGGGAGCAACCUGGUGCUUACUCAGGACUUUCUGUGCACUGGGAAAUCUUGCAUGCCUGCCCCCCGCCCCUUUCGACUGUGGGCUGUUUUUUCACCACGAGCUCCGUUCCCCUGUUGAAUAUUUAAACUAGCUUAAAAGCAAACACGCAGCUGGAACUGCGAUCAGAGCUGCCUUGACAGAUGCGGCUGGGUCAACCCCACACAUUUCUCCGAUGAAAAUAGGGACACCCUAUUCCAUUAUAAUCAUGCUCAUGAUAAUAAUUUUAUUAUUGAUACCCUGCCCAUCUGACAUGGUUGCCCCAGCCACUCUGAGCGGCUUCCCACAUAUAUAAAAAACACAACAAAGCAUUAAACGCUGAAAAACUUCCCUAUACAGCAGGCAUAGGCAAACUCGGCCCUCCAGAUGUUUUGGGACUACAGCUCCCAUCACCCCUAGCUAACAGGACCAGUGGUCAGGGAUGAUGGGAGUUGUAGUCCCAAAACAUCUGGAGGGCCGAGUUUGCCUAUGCCUGCUAUACAGGGCUGCCUUCCGAUGUCUUUUAAAUGGUAUAUAGCUACUUAUCUCCUUGGCUCGAGGGUUGUAAACUCUCCAACAUUUCUCUGAUGAAAAUAGGGGCGUCCUAAGGAAACACGGGACAUUCUGGGCUCAAGUCAGAAACUGUUAGAAUUCCUGCUCCGUGAUUGCAGUCAUGGGAUUGUUGUCUUUCACAUGACGGUGUAUGUUUUGACUCCACAGAGUGGGAAGUGACGGAGACAGGAUGUUUGUGUUACUGUGUUCCGUAAAGUGCGACUAUUGCCCUUUGUCUUUUUCUCUUUGCUGUCUGAUGCUAGAGAGAGAGGGAGCCAUGUUUCAGUGCUCCGUGUGCGUUUAUAUGUAAAUAAAGUAGAUUAGCCAAAAUGCUGAGUUGCUGAGGUCUGUUACCCAAAGCUGUGAAGACUCUGCGGAUCCCUAAGUGAGCCGGUGUCGGUUGGCAUCGGUCGCUGUGAUGUUCGGGAAGAAGAAAGCUUAUGAAGCUCCCAGUUUUGGCGGCUUCUGUAAAUCUGGGACUGUCCCUGGAAAACAGGGGCACUCGGAGGGUCUGCAAUCCUAUGGCUUUGCCCGACAAGCCCAGUGAGGAUGGGAUUCUCCCAGAGAAUCACAGAGCCAAAGAGCUGGAAGGGAACCCCUUGCAAUGCGGGAAUCACAACUAAAGCAUCCCUGGCAGGAGUGGGGACUUGGGUCUGGAUCCUGCUGGAUUUUUGUGUCGGCGUGUGGAAGGCUGCUGUUGAGAACAGAUUGAAAGCUUUUUUUACAUUCCUGUUGAGACCCUCUUUGGAUCAGGCUGCAGCCCAGCAGCUGAAGACAAGUGCCUCUGCCAAAUGCCAGGAGCCCCUGCCCAAAUAUUCAUUGCAAAAUAAUAAUAAUAAUUGGGAGGGUCUAGGGGUGGUGGCCCCCAUGGGGGCUGCAUUGGGGGACCCCAAGCUUAAUCCUACGUAGAGCACAUGGGAUGUCGGGGAAAUCUCUCAAGUUACUUGCUGCUGGUAGAGAGAUAUUCCUCAGCGCCUCUAGAGAAUCAGAAUUAUUAUUAGACAUAAAACAGUCUGGUGAAUUGCAGGGAUUUGGCCCAGAUUUUGACAUGCGUUGUUUUUCAUCCUGUUUGUGGGUCUGUUAAUUAAAAACGGAGGCUGCCCCAAGGCGUUCUCUGGAGUUCCCUAGAAAUAUUAUUUGCAUCCUGCAUUCAGCGCCUUCAACCUCCCAUGACCUACAUUUUGUUCCAGCUGCAACAUCGCCCGCAAAACCCUUGUGCAUCCAUUUAUCAGUUAUUGGUUGAUUAAUUUAGCGGCUGGCCUUCGUUCCAAGGGAUAUGUAUUCUGGGGAAAACUCUUGGGACCCCUGGAGCCUGUUGCUGCUCAGAGAUUGGAGUGGCUGCGUCACAACCCUUUUCCAGCUCCUUUGGUGAAAGAAAGGCGCCGCAGCGCAAAAAGGCAACCUUUGGAGUCAACGCAGCGUGUCUGGUGUGGCAAAUACAAGCAAGCAUAAAAAAAUCAUAGAGUUGUAGUUGUAGAGGGACCCCAAAGGUCAUCUAGCCCAACCCGACAGAGAUCACCUUCUCAGCAGAUUUCACUUAUACGGGACUGCCUCUCCUGGUAUGCCCCGCAGAGGACCUUAAGGUCCACAAAUGACAACACCUUGGAGGUCCCAGGUCGCAAGGUGGUUAGAUUGGUCUCAACUAGGACCAGAGCCUUUUCAGUACUGGCCCCGACUUGGUGGAACGCUCUGUCACAAGAGACUAGGGCCCUGCGGGACUUGACAUCUUUCUGCAGGGCCUGCAAGACAGAGCUGUUCCGCCUGGCCUUUGGGUUGGACUCAGUCUGACCCUUAUGUUUCCCUCCCCUUAUGGUCUUGAUUUAUCAGCUAUUUUAAAAUGAGGCUGCAUUUUAAAUUGCAUUUUAACCUGUAUUUUAAAUUGGGGUUUUUUUCUCCCUCUCUUUCCCCCCUAUUACCGUAUUUUCCGCUCUAUAACACGCACCCGACCAUAACAUGCACGUAGUUUUUAGAGGAGGAAAAUCCGUAGGCAUGCCACCCGUAGGCAUUCCCUCCAUAACACGCACAGACAUUUCCCCUUACUUUCUAGGAGGAAAAAAGUGAGUGUUAUGGUGCAAAAAAUACGGUAUGUUUUUACUGUGAUUUUAUUUUAUUGGUGUUAGCUGCCCUGAGCCUGGCUCUGGCCGGGGAGGGUGGGGUAUAAAUAAAAUUUAUUAUUAUUAAAAAGGUAUAAACUAGAGUGUGUGUGUGCAGUGUGUGUUGUGUGGAAAUGGCUUGCAAUCUGCCAGACGUUGGGAGAGUGUUGGCGGAGGGGAGGAAGAGAGUGCAAAGGAUGUUGCGGAGAGUUUUGAAGGACUUUGGAAACACCGUAUUUUUUGCUCCAUAAGACGCACUUUUUUCCUCCUUAAAAGUAAGGGGAAAUGUCUGUGCAUCUUAUGGAGUGAAUGCGUGGUCCCUGGAGCUAAAUUGCCCAGGGGCGAAAAGCAGAUCGUGCUUUUUAUUUUUAGAAAGAGGGAAGGGGGUGUUGAAACAAAGCCGCUUAGCAGCUGAUCAGCAAGUGAUCGGGAGGGGAGAUAAGGGACUCUAGCGAUAAAGGAGGCUGCCACAGCAUGAACCACAAAAAUCAAGCAUCCACUGUUUCGUUCAGAAUAUAUUUUUUUCUUGUUUUCCUCCUCUAAAAACUAGGUGUGUCUUAUGGUCAGGUGCGUCUUAUGGAGUGAAAAAUACGGUAGAUUGGAGGAGGCCAGACAGAGAGCUGUGGAGGAGUUUGGAGAGUCACCAGAGGAGGCUGGAUUUGCUCUUUUCAUUAUUUAAAAAAAUGUUUUUUCUAGGGGAUCUGGCAACACGUGAUUUUGCUUAUAUGCAUGCUGGCCAGAAUUGUAACCUGUGUGUAAUGACAGCAGCAAGGAUGCUUCUUGCCCAGAGAUAAAAAGAAGAACUACCGACCAGAGAAUAAUGGCAGAUUAAGCUGGUGGAAUAUGCGGAAAUGGCAAGACGGAUGGGAAAGGUGAGAAAUCAGGAAGACCAAGUAUUUUUUAAAAGACUAGAAUAACAUUUUAACCUAUUUGAGAGAUC
Non-coding RNA from Podarcis lilfordi (Lilford's wall lizard), 5492 nucleotides. Lineage: Eukaryota; Metazoa; Chordata; Lepidosauria; Squamata; Lacertidae. The record is from the annotation of a GenBank genome assembly.